Long non-coding RNA from Anguilla anguilla (European eel), 1750 nucleotides. RefSeq lists it as uncharacterized. The transcript has 6 exons. Lineage: Eukaryota; Metazoa; Chordata; Actinopteri; Anguilliformes; Anguillidae. The record is from RefSeq and is a predicted model, not a curated record.
AGGGAGUCCUGUACAGGGAAGAAGACAGAAGAGAGGUUGUCAUAGAACAUCAAUAACCGAAUGUCACAGCGCCAUACCGCCUUACGGGGGGGGUGCUUGUGAAAUGGAGCUUGGUAGCCAGACUUGACCCUUCACGAAGCACUGCAGCUGAAGGAUAGACAGUACUCCUGCGGACUUUCCUAUAAGCCACUGGCCCUAGCGUACAGGAGAGAGCUGUCCAGACCGUACUAAGUGGAGGAGCGGCAUACACUACAUGGCCAAAAACAUCUCUGCGGCAGUCGUUUCCACGGCAAUCCACCAGAGCUUCGGUGCCAGGCUCAAAGUUAAGCAACAGUGCCACCCGCUGGGCUCCAAGCGUACUGCGACUGCCAGCCGCAUCCACGUCCCUCUAAUCAAUCUCUGUGACUGUUCCGCUGUAGCUUCCUGGGCGUCGCGUACACACUAGACCUUUCCUGGCGGGCUGACAAGGCCAGUCCUGUUCACCGAGGGGAAGCUCAGCAGUAAGAGCGGAGGUUCGGGUGGAUGAUGAACACUCAAAGCUGGCGUACAUUUCCAGUGCUGGUUUUAAAUACAUUUGCUUAUUUUAUUUUUCCUGCUUCUGUCUCUGCCCAUAAUGUCCUUUGUUAAAAUACGAGUGGUAUCUGCCAAAAAAUAAUGAUGAUACAAAAAAUUAUGCUCUGCUGUUUUCAAAGAAUGGUGGAGGACAGAUUAGAUGCGUUUUCUAAGUACCACCAGGGGGCAAUAAUAGUCAGGAAUACAUAUCUUUACCAUGAUUAGAUGUGCACAUUUUUUCCUUCGUCUUUUCCAGCCAGAGAGGAUCCUGGGUAGUGACCACUUUACAGUGUGUGACCUUAUAUGACUGUGUGUGGCUGGGUCUGCCUGGAGUUCUUUGUCCCAGUUUGCCUGAAACAGUUUGCCUGAUUGUAAUUAUAAUUGUGAUGGUUCUGUUCUUUUCAGUGAAAAGACCAAUGUGCAAAUGGCUAUGUUUUUUGAACAGUCUUUCUUGGGUCCCUCAGACUCAAGUGACUACCUCACUUCACUGAAUAGAGGUGAAAAAAGUCAGGGGGAGGAGUGCACAUUAGAUUGUGAUGCUCACUGAAAAAAAAUGUCUCCUGAAAGUAUCUGUAGCACAAGGAUCUCACGUUGAAAUCCUGGAGGUUUUUUUGGUGUUUUCCUAAGCUUCUGUGCUUAAGUCAGAGAUUCAAAGUAUAUAGUGCCUUCCCUCCCAACAUCUUUACUUUAACUCAGCUACUGCCAUCAUAUAGUGUAUAGCGUCGACCUGGUUUGCUUCCCAUUGCUCUUUGCUAUGCAGUAAUUCCCAUGUCCAUGUUCCAGCAGGGGUAGUGCCGAUCCAGGAAAUAGCUGACAGUCUGAUUUGAACAAAUCCAAGGUGAAUUCAAUACAUAAGCGUCUGAUGACAACACACUGGAGACCCAGCUGACAAAACUCAGUGCUGUAGAGGAAGAUGAAGAUGAAAAUAGAUAUGGCAAGGCCGAUUUAUUUGACAGUUUUCCAGAGAAAGAGAACUGAGAAGAGGAAGCAAUGGCAUCUCUGUUCCGCCAUCAUUCUGAUGGCUUCUGACUGCAUCUCCGUGCACAGCCUGAAAUGUGCUGUGCAGACUGGGUCCAAAUUCUUUACUUUCCUGAAAUGAGUUUGACACCUCCAACAGAGUUUCUAAGGCACUUCACCCAAUCUGUACGCAUGUAAAUGUGCUUCAUCAAACCUGUGCUCCUGUAAACACACCACUCAA